AUGCUUUUGUUCUUCCACAGGGGCACUGCUCAGAGGUACUUUUCAGAUACAACAGCUCAUUUUGGAACGUCUCCCUGGCAGCGAAAACAUUGGACAGUUGCUAUGGACUCCUCAGCAUCCAGCCAUUCCUAUCUGGAAUCAAUUUCAAGAUACAGAAGCAGGUCCAACAUUCUACACUGGAAGCUGAAGCCUGGGCAGCUGUUCUGUCUUGACGAUCAUGUGGCAGCUGGGAAGGUGGACAUGAGACCUAGACUCAGCCAAUCUGAUGGUACAUUAUGGACUUUGAAUCCUGAAGAGUAACACAAAUAAUAGGGGUGUCUUCUUGUGGUGAGUGUGAUGGAUCUAGGGUCCUACAAUGUGGCAGCGAGUGUGGGGAGGGGCACAGCCCAGCAGCAGUGGUUGAGUGUCCAGUGACCCAAACAAGCUCUUUCUGUGGUAUGAUUUUUAGUAAGUCUUGUCUCUGUAUAGUUGCCUUGUUGCCAAACCUCCCUAUCAAUUAUAAAAUUUUUGGAUCUCCUUAUAAGAAAUUGCUUCUCUGUUUAAAUAAGCAGAGUUAAUAUAGGUGGUUGCAACUAAGAACCCUGGCAGGUGCAGAGAAAAUAAGCCCAGGGUAAAAUCCACCUCUCCGCUCAUCUUCCUCUUUCAGGGACCUGAUGUCUGCACACAGCAGCCUGGCAUCCUAGCCAUUCAGACCGGUAAUUGAUUCACGCUUACUUCUUUGAAACAUGUCUUAAGAGGUACACGGGCAACCUUGAUCACUAUGUAAAGUUGUUGGGGAUUUUGGAGGGUCUGCAAACCAGAGAGUCUGAAAUAACUAGGAAUAUUGCAGAAGAGAUUUCUGUCUGUGAGGCUACAGCCCACAAGUUCUCCCGUACAGUCCUUUGUCUCUCAGUUUCCAUUUCUCAAGGUUGUCAGUCUGCUAGAUGCUACAGAGAAAAUGACACCCCAGGCCAGGCACGGUGGCUCACGCCAGUAAUCCCAGCACUUUGGGAGGCCAAGGCGGGCGGAUCACCUGAGGUACGGAGUUCGAGACCAGCCUGAUCAACAUGGAGAAAUCCCGUCUCUACUAAAAAUUCAAAAAGUUAGCCAGGUGUGGUGGUAUGCGCCUGUAGUGCCGGCUACUCGGGAGGCAGAGGCAAGAGAAUCGCUUGAACCCAGGAGGCGGAGGUUGCAGUGAGCCAAAAUCACACCAUUGCACUCCAGCCUGGGCAACAAGAGCAAAACCCCGUCAAAGGAAGGAAGGGAAGGAAGGAAGGAAGGAAGGAAGGGAGAUGUCGCAAAAAAAUGCACCCUAAGAGACCAAUAGAUAUCAGCUUCCCUGUGACCCAUCUAGGGUGGUAUAUUUACAUUUUGAAUAAGAGAGCAAUCUGAUGAUGAUAGAAUGAUGUCAGUCCAAGGCUGGAAAUUCUGUCCAUGCGGCGAGUGAGCAUGGAGGCUUUCUUUAUGUCUUUUGGACCUAUCCAUCCAUAUCCGUUUCUAGGAUCUAGGUUCCCCUUGAGUCUGUUUCUGUGGAUAGUUUAAACAUUAUGAUAAAUUUUUCUAGCAGGUAUCUGGAAAACUGAAAGGUAAUUACUUCCUGAUGGCUAAACAAAAGAAUUCAAGUGCUGUUUAUCUCAGUGCUCUUCUCUUUUUUCUUGCCAAAAAUUCAAACAACCCACCGUUAGGUACUGUUACCAGAAAAAGCAUUUGUUACUCUCAAGAGUUUUGUUUGUCCCCUGAUGAGAAAAAGGACUAUAUUGCUUUAAACUGUUGCUCUUUUUUUGUGGAGGUUGUAUUGUAACUGGCAAAAAGGUCCAGCUGCCCACUGCUUGCAGAGAGAAAUCAAAUAUAGUAAUGAGUUGUAAUAACAGGGAGAAAGAUUUUAUUAUUCAUGCUAGCAGGGGAAGAGCAGAAAAAAGUUCCACUCUCCAAUUCUUGGAGGGAAUAUGAGUUUUUAAAGAAAGGGUUUGGAACAUAGACGAAGAAAGGGGGGCAGGAGGUGCCAGGUGGCGUGACUUGCUCUGCUGUCCUCUUAUUGUCCCAAUUGGUGAAGGUACUGGCACCAUCGUGGGGAUCCUGCCAGGUUAUAAAUUAGUCACUCUUCAGUCAGGUGUGGGUUCCAUCCUCAAAGUGAUCUUUGUUGAAGAAAGAAUUCCAGAGGUGUCUAAUCCCUAUCAGAAUCUGACUGCUGAGCUUGUAAGGAAACAUAUGACCAGAUAAGAGAGCGCGGGUGGGCGAAGUGGCUCACGCCUGGAAUCCCAGCACUUUUGGAGGCCAAGGCAGGUGGAUCACUUAAGGUCAGGAGUUCGAGACCAGCAUGGUUAACGUGGUGAAACCACGUCUCUACUAAAAAUAUAAAAUAUGAUCCGGGUGUGGUGUUGCGCGCCUGUAGUCCCGGCUACUCAGGAGACUGAGGCAGAAGAAUCGCUUGAACCCAGGUGGUGGAGGUUGCAGUGAGCUGAGAUCAUGACACUGCACUCCAGCCUGGGCGACAGAGCGAGACUCCAUCUCAAAAAAAAAAAAGAGACAGAGAGGACAUGGUAUGUGCUUAACAAGCACAUAGGUGAAUAAAUGUGCGUAAGGCACAGGAGUAUAGCAUGGGAAAGGAAAGGGAGUGGAAGUUCACAGCCCAUUCUGAGGCUGUACUUUAAGAUGAGCGGUAACAUACACGCAGAUUUCCUCAAAGUUUUAUCUUGAGACCGAGAGGAGGAGGAGGAAGAGGAAAAAGCAAAGAAGAAAAAAUAGUUUAAAAUGCAGUUUGAGGCUUAGCUGUUAAGCUGCUGGUUACAGUAUUGAAGAACCUUUACAUGUGGUCUCUCAUCGUUAUCUGGUUCUCCAAACGACUCCUGGGUAAAUGGCACUUACAGAGUGGCCAGAGACACCACAUAAGCAUAUUCCCCCUAGUGUUACAUGAGAGUAUUUUGUCUAAUUGUUGAGUUUAGUUCUGGUAACAACUAAGCAAGGGUCAUAGUCAGAAAAUUGUCAGAGGCGUUUGAACCAGAGCAACUCCAUCUUGAAUAGGAUCUGCAUAAAAUAAGGCUGAGACCUGCUGGGCUGCAUUCCCAGAUGGUUAAGGCAUUCUAAGUCACAGGAUGAGAUAGGAGGUCGGUACAAGAUACAGGCCAUAAAGACCUUGCUGAUAAAACAGGCUGUGGUAAAGAAGCUGGCCAAAACCCACCAAAACCAAGAUGGCAAAGAAAGUGACCUCUGGUGGUCCUCACUGCUCAUCUUACACUAAUUAUAAUGCAUUAGCAUGCUAGAAGAUGCUCCCAUCAGCAUGAGGACAGUUUACAGAUGCCAUGGCAAAGCCAGGAAGUUAUCCUAUAUGGUCUAAAAAGGGGAGGAACCAGCCAGCAGGGUGGCUCACGCCUGUAAUCCCAGCAUUUUGGGAGGCCGAGGCGGGCGGAUCUCGAGGUCAGGAGAUUGAGACCAUCUUGGCUAACACGGUGAAACCCCGUUUCUACUAAAAGUACAACAAAUUAGCCAGGCAUGGUGGCGGGCACCUGUAGUCCCAGCUACUUGGGAGGCUGAGGCAGGAGAAUGGCAUGCCAAGAGGCGGAAGUUGCAGUGAGCCAAGAUCACUCCAGCCUCAGCAACAGAGCGAGUCUCCACCUCAAAAAAAAAAAAAAAAGGAGGAACCCUCAGUUCUGGGAAUUGCCCAUCCCUUUCCCAGAAAACUCAUGAAUAAUCCACCCCCUGUUUAGCAUAUAAUCAAUAAGUAACUAUAAGUGUCCUUAGUCCAGCAGCCUAAGCUGCUGCCCUGCCUAUGGAGUAGCCGUUCUUCUAUUCCCUUGACUUUCUUAAUAAACUUGCUUUCAGUUUACUCUGUGGACUCGCCCGAAUUCUUUCUUGCACAAGAUCUAAGAACCCUCUUUGGGGGUCUGGAUUGGGACCCCUUUCUGAUACCUUUCUGAUAACGAAAUUAGAACUGCUAAUAAGGAUCUGAUCCUCUCGCCUGGCAAUUUAGUUUUAACUUCUCUCCCUCUCCAAGAGGUUAUCAGAAGAAAAGAUAAUUAGAUAACUAAGAUGAAAUAUUUCUGAUGUCUGUAGCACUGGAGUAUUGUCUGCUUUGUCUAAGAUGGUUUAAAAUUGUUCUUAGAAGAAAUACAAAAUUAGGAAAUUAGAGUUAAAAGAGACUUUAGUUAAGGGUCCGAUAAUCUCACUCCCUAAUUUAACGUUUCUAAAAACCAAGAACCCAAAUGAAGGAGUAACAUGAUGUGAAUAACGUUGAAUACUCUUAGUCCAGUGCUCUCCCCACUGUAUCAAGCAGCCGGAACCGUUGCGUUGUUUACAUAUGUUUACUUAGAUGUUUACACAAAUACCUAUGUAUGUGUAAACGGAUAAAUACAAAUAUUCAAAGGGGAAACAUAAGCAAGACAACUUUCACAAGAAAAUGUGGCAUCUUCAGGACCCAUCAACCCAGCACUAAAAUACUUUGUAAACGUAUUAUCAUCUGGAAACCAUCAAGAUGACUUCAUAAGGCAUAAUUCAAACAUCUGUAAAAACCAUGAUUUCCAAGGUCAUAUAACACUUGGGUUAAAAAAGAUGGAUGGUUGCUGGGAAACAGAAUAACUGGUCCAACAAGUUUGUUGGAAUAAGCUGUUCUGUAAAUGGAAAUUAUUUCCUCUGAUUUUCA
Molecule: long non-coding RNA, 4615 nt
Organism: Papio anubis (olive baboon)
Lineage: Eukaryota; Metazoa; Chordata; Mammalia; Primates; Cercopithecidae
Source: Ensembl